This 253-nucleotide ribosomal RNA is filed under the name uncultured bacterium. RNAcentral's name for it is "partial 16S ribosomal RNA". It matches the Rfam family "Bacterial small subunit ribosomal RNA", at positions 524 to 776 of the family's 1533-position model. The record is from RNAcentral.
UACGGAGGGGGCUAGCGUUGUUCGGAAUUACUGGGCGUAAAGCGCGCGUAGGCGGAUCUGCAAGUCGGGGGUGAAAUCCCUCGGCUUAACCGAGGAACUGCCGUCCAAACUGCUUCGCUUGAGACCGGGAGAGGUGAGUGGAAUUCCCAGUGUAGCGGUGAAAUGCGUAGAUAUCAAGUGGAACACCAGUGGCGAAGGCGGGUCUCUGGACAGUUCCUGACACUGAGGCACGAAGGCCAGGGGAGCAAACGGG